Chelonus insularis is the source of this 667-nucleotide long non-coding RNA. RefSeq lists it as uncharacterized. The transcript has 3 exons. The record is from RefSeq and is a predicted model, not a curated record. Lineage: Eukaryota; Metazoa; Arthropoda; Insecta; Hymenoptera; Braconidae.
GUCUACCAAAGGUGGCUGCGGCUGACAGUUCGCGCCUUCAUUUUAUAGUUGCACGUAAUGAGGUGCACAUUAAUUUAUUGUUUAUUUAUCAUUUAUUAUUUUUCAUCUGUUGUAUUUGCAUAUUUAUUACAUAUCGUUGCGUUAAUGGGAACUAAAAUAAGUGUCGUGACCUUAAUACAACUCUUCUUUGAUCUCUCAAUUACUUCGGCUAACAAGUUGAUCGAAAAAAUAAUCAUUUUGUCUCGACGCACUUGCACAAUUACCUAUUCGAUCGCUUCAAGAGACAAUACAGUACAUAGAAAGAGAACACUAUUUACUCGUGGAUUUUUUUUUGUAUUUUUAAAUUGCUGUCAAUGGCUAUUAGUGAGAGUGAGAGAUACAAGAGGAACGCCGUAAAGAGGAAACCGGAAGUGGAGGCGGACCAAUUUGAUGAUCGAUCUAGUAAUGAAUCGUUAAAAGAGCACGCUGUUUCAGAUGCAUUUUCUACCAGCACCUAUAAUAUCAUGGAUGCAUAUAUAUUUUUACAACUCUUCAACAAUUUAUCAUGGGAUCCAAUCAUCAUAUAGACGAAACUGGUUUUCACAAUGAUUUGCCAGAUAGAUUUAAUUCUGAGAUCAUUGUGAAAGCUGAUUUUGUUCGCCAGACAACUAGGAUCAACUUCAGCAUC